RNAcentral lists this unclassified non-coding RNA (423 nucleotides) under Hevea brasiliensis (rubber tree). Lineage: Eukaryota; Viridiplantae; Streptophyta; Magnoliopsida; Malpighiales; Euphorbiaceae. The record is from RNAcentral.
GUAAAGCCAGGCCUCUUGCAGCCUGUCAAGUACAUUUCCAGUAUUGAUAUCUUCCACGAGGCUCUCCUCACAAGCAUCUUUAAGGUCUGCAUUAUCAUAUUUGUUCGCAGCCUCAAGCAAUGCUAAACGGUGUUUCCAGAAAUCCUCUUGUUUAAUUGUUCCAUACAAGUAACUGAGAAAAGCCAUGCAAGACUCCGUUGACAUGUCUUCUAUGUUGAUUGUAGAGGACUCUUUUUCCUUGAAGUCAUGAUGAAACAUGCUCUGGAAAACAGGUGAACUUGCAGCAAGAAUUGCUUUAUGUGCUCUUAAAGUGCCAUCAGCAGUGUGGAUCGUAACAUCAGCAUGGAUGGCUUCAUCCAGCAUGCGAGAGAGACGUCUAAGUGUGCUUUGGGUUGAAAUAGACUGCAUCAUACCAUCACUAGG